GAUUUCUGAUAUGGUGCACCUGGCCCGCCACGGUUACGUGUGUGAGUGCCGGGAUGCGCCUGUCACUGUUCUGGUAAACCAUUUUGCACUUCAUUGUGUGAGAUGGGUAGCCAGAUAUUUUACUUUGAAAAAAUUAGAGUGUUUAAAGCAGGCGUUUGCUAUGAAUACAUUAGCAUGGAAUAAUAAGUUAGGACUUCGGUUCUAUUUUGUUGGUUUCUAGGACUGAAGUAAUGAUUGAUAGGGACAGUUGGGGGUGCUAGUAUUCAGCGGCCAGAGGUGAAAUUCUCGGAUUCGCUGAAGACUAACUUAUGCGAAAGCAUU
This 321-nucleotide ribosomal RNA is filed under the name Allapsidae sp. Its description in RNAcentral is "SSU rRNA". The stretch from base 59 to 321 matches the Rfam family "Eukaryotic small subunit ribosomal RNA", at positions 691 to 955 of the family's 1831-position model. The record is from RNAcentral. Lineage: Eukaryota; Cercozoa; Glissomonadida; Viridiraptoridae.